Molecule: ribosomal RNA, 758 nt
Filed under: uncultured bacterium
Lineage: Bacteria
Description: bacterial SSU rRNA
Rfam family: Bacterial small subunit ribosomal RNA
Source: RNAcentral
AGAGUUUGAUCCUGGCUCAGAGCGAACGCUGGCGGCAUGCUUAACACAUGCAAGUCUGACGGGCUUGAGGCUUGCUUCAAGUCAGUGGCGGACGGGUGAGGAGCGCGUAGGAACGUAUCCAUGGGUGGGGGACAACCGCGGGAAACUGCGGCUAAUACCGCACGGGGCCUGAGGGCCAAAGGCUGGGCAACCAGUCGCCUAUGGAGCGGCCUGCGUCCGACUAGCUUGUUGGUGGGGUGAUGGCUUACCAAGGCGGUGAUCGGUAGCUGGUCUGAGAGGAUGAUCAGCCACACUGGGACUGAGACACGGCCCAGACUCCUACGGGAGGCAGCAGUGGGGAGUAUUGGACAAUGGGCGAAAGCCUGAUCCAGCAAUGCCGCGUGGGUGAAGAAGGUCUUCGGAUUGUAAAGCCCUUUCGGCGGGGACGAUGAUGACGGUACCCGCAGAAGAAGCCCCGGCUAACUUCGUGCCAGCAGCCGCGGUAAUACGAAGGGGGCUAGCGUUGCUCGGAAUGACUGGGCGUAAAGGGCGCGUAGGCGGCCGCAUUUGUCAGGCGUGAAAGUCCUGGGCUCAACCCGGGGACGGCGCUCGGGACGGUGUGGCUUGAGUGGGGAAGAGGGUCGUGGAAUUCCCAGUGUAGAGGUGAAAUUCGUAGAUAUUGGGAAGAACACCGGUGGCGAAGGCGGCGACCUGGUCCUUGACUGACGCUGAGGCGCGAGAGCGUGGGGAGCAAACAGGAUUAGAUACCCUGGUAGUCC